RNAcentral lists this ribosomal RNA (279 nucleotides) under uncultured bacterium. Its description in RNAcentral is "partial 16S ribosomal RNA". It matches the Rfam family "Bacterial small subunit ribosomal RNA", at positions 506 to 784 of the family's 1533-position model. The record is from RNAcentral.
UGCCAGCAGCCGCGGUAAGACGAAGGUGGCAACCGUUGUUCGGAAUCACUGGGCAUAAAGAGCACGUAGGCGGGUCUUUAAGUCGGGUGUGAAAUCCCUCGGCCCAACCGAGGAACUGCGCCCGAUACUGAAGGCCUUGAGGGCAGGAGGGGAGUGUAGAAUUCCUGGUGGAGCGGUGAAAUGCGUUGAUAUCAGGAGGAAUACCGGCGGCGAAGGCGACACUCUGGCCUGCUUCUGACGCUGAGGUGCGAAAGCUAGGGGAGCAAACGGGAUUAGAUA